UAAUACGUAGGGUGCAAGCGUUAAUCGGAAUUACUGGGCGUAAAGCGUACGCAGGCGGCUUGGUAAGACAGAUGUGAAAUCCCCGGGCUUAACCUGGGAACUGCAUUUGUGACUGCCUGGCUCGAGUCUGUCAGAGGGGGGUGGAAUUCCACGUGUAGCAGUGAAAUGCGUAGAGAUGUGGAGGAACACCGAUGGCGAAGGCAGCCCCCUGGGAUGAGACUGACGCUCAUGUACGAAAGCGUGGGGAGCAAACAGG
Molecule: ribosomal RNA, 256 nt
Filed under: uncultured bacterium
Lineage: Bacteria
Description: partial 16S ribosomal RNA
Rfam family: Bacterial small subunit ribosomal RNA
Source: RNAcentral